CCUACGGGAGACUGCAGUGAGGAAUAUUGGUCAAUGGACGUGAGUCUGAACCAGCCAAGUAGCGUGAAGGAUGACUGCCCUAUGGGUUGUAAACUUCUUUUAUAUGGGAAUAAAAUGUUCCACGUGUGGGAUUUUGUAUGUACCAUAUGAAUAAGGAUCGGCUAACUCCGUGCCAGCAGCCGCGGUAAUACGGAGGAUCCGAGCGUUAUCCGGAUUUAUUGGGUUUAAAGGGAGCGUAGGUGGAUUGUUAAGUCAGUUGUGAAAGUUUGCGGCUCAACCGUAAAAUUGCGGUUGAAACUGGCAGUCUUGAGGAAAGUAGAGGUGGGCGGAAUUGGGGGUGUAGCGGUGAAAUGCUUAGAUAUCACGAAGAACUCCGAUUGCGAAGGCAGAUAACGGGACGGGAACGGACACUGAGGCUCGAAAGUGUGGGUAUCAAACAGGAUUAGAUACCCUUGUAGU
This 459-nucleotide ribosomal RNA is filed under the name uncultured bacterium. RNAcentral's name for it is "partial 16S ribosomal RNA". It matches the Rfam family "Bacterial small subunit ribosomal RNA", at positions 338 to 794 of the family's 1533-position model. The record is from RNAcentral.